AGAGUUUGAUCAUGGCUCAGAGUGAACGCUGGCGGCGUGCCUAACACAUGCAAGUCGAACGCGAAAGUCCUCUUCGGAGGGCAAGUAGAGUGGCAGACGGGUGAGUAAUGCAUAGGUAAUUUUCCCUUGAGUGGGGGACAACUGAUCGAAAGGUCAGCUAAUCCCGCAUGACAUCCAGUUGCUUAAGUGAUUGGAUUAAAGAGGGGGCUCUUUCGGGACCUCUCGCUUAAGGAUGAGCUUAUGUCCUAUUAGCUAGUUGGUAGGGUAACGGCCUACCAAGGCUCUGAUGGGUAGCCGAGCUUAGAGGCUGAUCGGCCACACUGGAACUGAGACACGGUCCAGACUCCUACGGGAGGCAGCAGUGGGGAAUUUUGCGCAAUGGGCGAAAGCCUGACGCAGCGACGCCGCGUGAGGGAUGAAGGUCUUCGUGAUCGUAAACCUCUGUCAGGGAGGAUUAAAUGUGUAGGUGUUAAUACCAUCUAUGCUUGACUUAACUCCCAGAGGAAGCCCCGGCUAACUACGUGCCAGCAGCCGCGGUAAUACGUA
RNAcentral lists this ribosomal RNA (546 nucleotides) under uncultured bacterium. RNAcentral's name for it is "bacterial SSU rRNA". It matches the Rfam family "Bacterial small subunit ribosomal RNA", at positions 8 to 529 of the family's 1533-position model. The record is from RNAcentral.